GCAGUGCCUUAGCAGCACGUAAAUAUUGGCGUUAAGAUUCUGAGAUUAUCUCCAGUAUUGACUGUGCUGCUGAAGUAAGGU
Molecule: non-coding RNA, 81 nt
Organism: Rattus norvegicus (Norway rat)
Lineage: Eukaryota; Metazoa; Chordata; Mammalia; Rodentia; Muridae
Source: Rfam